RNAcentral lists this ribosomal RNA (496 nucleotides) under uncultured bacterium. RNAcentral describes it as "partial 16S ribosomal RNA". It matches the Rfam family "Bacterial small subunit ribosomal RNA", at positions 28 to 507 of the family's 1533-position model. The record is from RNAcentral.
GAUGAACGCUGGCGGCGUGCCUAAUACAUGCAAGUCGAGCGAACAGACGAGGAGCUUGCUCCUCUGACGUUAGCGGCGGACGGGUGAGUAACACGUGGAUAACCUACCUAUAAGACUGGGAUAACUUCGGGAAACCGGAGCUAAUACCGGAUAAUAUAUUGAACCGCAUGGUUCAAUAGUGAAAGACGGUUUUGCUGUCACUUAUAGAUGGAUCCGCGCCGCAUUAGCUAGUUGGUAAGGUAACGGCUUACCAAGGCAACGAUGCGUAGCCGACCUGAGAGGGUGAUCGGCCCCACUGGACCUGAGACACGAUCCAGACUCCUACGGGAGGCAGCAGUAGGGAAUCUUCCGCAAUGGGCGAAAGCCUGACGGAGCAACGCCGCGUGAGUGAUGAAGGUCUUCGGUUCGUAAAACUCUGUUAUUAGGGAAGAACAAAUGUGUAGUAACUAUGCACGUCUUGACGGUACCUAAUCAGAAAGCCACGGCUAACUACGUG